Molecule: ribosomal RNA, 446 nt
Filed under: uncultured bacterium
Lineage: Bacteria
Description: bacterial SSU rRNA
Rfam family: Bacterial small subunit ribosomal RNA
Source: RNAcentral
UCCAGACUCCUACGGGAGGCAGCAGUGGGGGAUAUUGCACAAUGGGGGAAACCCUGAUGCAGCGACGCCGCGUGAGUGAAGAAGUAUUUCGGUAUGUAAAGCUCUCUCAGCAGGGAAGAAAAAAGACGGUACCUGACUAAGAAGCCCCGGCUAACUACGUGCCAGCAGCCGCGGUAAUACGUAGGGGGCAAGCGUUAUCCGGAUUUACUGGGUGUAAAGGGAGCGUAGACGGCAAUACAAGUCGGAAGUGAAAUACCCGGGCUUAACCUGGGAACUGCUUUGGAAACUGUAUGGCUGGAGUGCUGGAGAGGUAAGCGGAAUUCCUAGUGUAGCGGUGAAAUGCGUAGAUAUUAGGAGGAACACCAGUGGCGAAGGCGGCUUACUGGACAGUAACUGACGUUGAGGCUCGAAAGCGUGGGGAGCAAACAGGAUUAGAUACCCUGGUA